This 2263-nucleotide ribosomal RNA is filed under the name human metagenome. Its description in RNAcentral is "bacterial LSU rRNA". It matches the Rfam family "Bacterial large subunit ribosomal RNA", at positions 14 to 2304 of the family's 2925-position model. The record is from RNAcentral.
AGAGCAUCGGGUGGAUGCCUUGGCACUGGGAGCCGAUGAAGGACGUGAUAAGCUGCGAUAAGCUGCGGUAAGGAGCACAUAUCCGAUAUACCCGCAGAUUUCCGAAUGGGGGAACCCACAUACGGUAAUGCGUAUGUAUCAUUAAGUGAAUACAUAGCUUAAUGAAGGGAACGGGGUGAACUGAAACAUCUAAGUAGCCCUAGGAAGAGAAAGAAAAAUCGAUUUCCUGAGUAGCGGCGAGCGAAAGGGAAAGAGGCCAAACCAAAUUGUUUACAGUUUGGGGUUGUGGACCACCGACAUUGACGAAGUUAUGCGAGCCGAAUAGGGUUGGAAAGCUCAAGCAGAGAAGGUAAUACUCCUGUAGGCGAAGCAGAAAGCGCAUAGGUGGCACCAGAGUAGGACCGGACACGUGUAACCCGGUCUGAAGCCGGAGGGACCACCCUCCAAGCCUAAAUACUACCCAGUGACCGAUAGCGAAUAGUACCGUGAGGGAAAGGUGAAAAGAACCCCGGGAGGGGAGUGAAAUAGAAUCUGAAACCUGAUGCUUACAAGCAUAGGGAGCGCAAGUGACCUAGUACUUUUUGUAGAACGGGCCAACGAGUUAUGGUAUGUAGCGAGGUUAAGUUGCUGGAGCAACGGAGCCGUAGAGAAAUCGAGUCUGAAUAGGGCGAGAGUUACAUGCUGUAGACCCGAAACCGGGUGACCUAUCCAUGAGCAGGUUGAAGUAACCGUAAAAGGUUAUGGAGGACCGAACCUAUAUCUGUUGAAAAAGGUUAGGAUGACUUGUGGAUAGCGGUGAAAUUCCAAUCGAACUCGGAUAUAGCUGGUUCUCCUCGAAAUAGCUUUAGGGCUAGCCUCAAGGUAAAGAUACACGGGGGUAGAGCACUGACUGUUCGCGGGGCCUUCACCGGUUACCAACAACUAUCAAACUCCGAAUACCGUGCUAUCAUACUUGGGAGUCAGACUAUGAGAGAUAAGUUCCAUGGUCGAAAGGGAAACAGCCCAGAUCAACAGCUAAGGUCCCAAAGAGUAAGUUAAGUGGAAAAGGAUGUGGGAUUGCACAAACAGCUAGGAUGUUGGCUUAGAAGCAGCCAUACAUUUAAAGAGUGCGUAAUAGCUCACUAGUCGAGUGAUCCUGCGCCGAAGAUAAACGGGGCUCAAACUUACCACCGAAGCUUUGGAAUUAGUAUAACUAAUUGGUAGAGGAGCAUUCUAUACAGGUAGAAGGAGGCGCGUAAGCAAAUCUGGACGGUAUAGAAGAGAGAAUGUUGGCAUGAGUAGCGUAAGGCGGGUGAGAAUCCCGUCCGCCGAAAAUCUAAGGUUUCCUGAGGAAGGUUCGUCCUCUCAGGGUAAGUCGGGACCUAAGCCGAGAGCGAACGCUGUAGGCGAUGGACAACAGGUUGAUAUUCCUGUACCACCAAGGAUUGUUUGAAUGAAGUGGGGACACAGAAGGAUAGAUUGAGCACGCCGUUGGUUGAGCGUGUCCAAGCAGCAAGGCUUGAAAGUAGGCAAAUCCGCUUUCUACAAGGCUGAGCUGUGAUGGGGUGGUCGAAUGACCGGUAGCAAUCGAUUUCACGCUGUCAAGAAAAGCCGCUAAUGAGAUCCAAGGUGCCCGUACCGCAAACCGACACAGGUAGAUGAGGAGAGAAUCCUAAGGUGAGCGAGAGAACUAUUGUUAAGGAACUCGGCAAAAUAACCCCGUAACUUCGGGAGAAGGGGUGCCUGCUUCGGCAGGCCGCAGUGAAGAGGUCCAGGCAACUGUUUACCAAAAACACAGGUCUCUGCUAAAGCGAAAGCUGAUGUAUAGGGGCUGACGCCUGCCCGGUGCUGGAAGGUUAAGGGGAAGUGUUAGGGCAACCGAAGCACAGAACUUAAGCCCCAGUAAACGGCGGCCGUAACUAUAACGGUCCUAAGGUAGCGAAAUUCCUUGUCGGGUAAGUUCCGACCCGCACGAAAGGCGUAAUGAUCUGGGCACUGUCUCAACAAUAGACUCGGUGAAAUUGUAGUACCGGUAAAGAUGCCGGUUACCCGCAGCAGGACGGAAAGACCCCGUGGAGCUUCACUGUAGCUUGAUAUUGAUUUUCGGCAUUGCAUGUACAGGAUAGGUGGGAGACGUUGAGUUCAGCACGCCAGUGUUGGAGGAGUCACCGUUGGGAUACCACCCUUGUAAUGUUGGAAAUCUAACCUAGUACCGUGAUCCGGUACAGGGACAGUGUCAGGUGGGCAGUUUGACUGGGGCGGUCGCCUCCUAAAGAGUAACGGA